UACAUCUUCUUUUCUUAGUAUUUUUCAGUAAAUUUUCACAACAUUUCGUCAAUUGUAUACGUUAAAAUUUCCAUAUUUGUAAGAAACAUGUUCUGCGCGAAAUAGGUCGACUUCCUAAACGCAGGUUGCAAUGCAUAUUUACAAUGCAUAUAGUUCCUAAAGUCACACUUGAAUUUUCUGGCAACGCCUAAUGUUCCUAAUUAGUUGGCAACUCAGUUUUAAACGCAUCAGAUGUUUAAAGCGUGCAUCAAUUUUAUUUGGUAUGCAGAACAGACAAUGGCAGAAGAAAAAAGUGGACACACGAGUGGAAGAAAUUAUUAAUAACAACAAGGCUUCGCCAUGAAGCAGAAUUUUCCGGCAAAAAAAGAAAGAGAAAUACAAUUUGGGAGUCGAUUUUAAGGGAAAUGAGGGACGUUGAGAGCUCGUUUCCAUUUUCAAGUGAUGAAAUAACGAGGUGUUUCCUCAACAUAAUGGGGGCUUAUAAGCAUAUAAAGAAAAGAAACAGUACUUCUGGCGAAGCAGCAUCAAAUUGGGAAUAUUUUAGUGAAAUCGAUGAAGUGUUUGGGAGUCGUUCUAGUAUUGAAGUGCCACUAGAAAUGACCGAGUAUUCUAUAAUUUCAUUGGAAAGUCCUUCCACCACAGCAACAAUUGACGGAAUGGAUGUAACACCUACAACAUCAGUUAAAAGAAAGAGAAAUGACGUAAUCGAAUUCUUAGAGAAAGAAUCCGAAAAGGAAAACGAAGCUAUAAAUAAGCUUAUAAAAAUAGAAAGUGAAAGACUUGAAGUUGAAAAAGAAAAACUUAAUUAAAACAACUACGGGCUUUAUUUGAAAACCCAGGAUAGUUUACAAAUAAUAUAAAUAAUUACUAUUAUAUAAUUAUAAGAAAUAUAUAUAUAUAUAUAAGUAUGUUAUAGUUUUGAAAGUUCCUAUCUUAUGAAAUAAAAUACAUUUAUUCAUGUUCAUGUUAUUCAAAUUGUGUUUUUUAUUUUAGAAUUGUCGUUUAAUUCAACUUGAAAACAACGCUGCCAGGGCAUUUCGUUUUUGAUGGGCUUCAUCUCUUUGCAAUGAUGGAACACUAACUUCAGAUGUUUGGGCCUCCUCUUCGUGCAAUUCUAUGCAAUCAAUGUUUUGCUGACCUUCAUUGAUUAUAAUCACGUUAUGUAUUAUCAUGCACGUUAAUACAAUAAUUUUUGGAAUAUGAGCGAGCUGUACACCAAUAAAUUUUAAAAUUCUGAA
Long non-coding RNA from Bactrocera neohumeralis, 1238 nucleotides. RefSeq lists it as uncharacterized. The record is from RefSeq and is a predicted model, not a curated record. NCBI's taxonomy places the organism in Eukaryota, Metazoa, Arthropoda, Insecta, Diptera, Tephritidae. The transcript is spliced from 2 exons.